UCGUGCCAGCCGUCGCGGUUAGACGAAGAAUCCGUAUAGAAUGAAUGUUUACAUUAGUUAACGUUCAAUUUUUGAAGUUUCUCUAGCUUUUUUGUUGGGUGAAAUCAGUAUAAGAAGCUCUUUCUUCUUUAAAAAUUAGUAGGAACUAAAAAACUUUGAUUUAAAACCAGGAUUAGAUACCCUGUUAUUCUCAGUUAUUCUUAAACAGGGUAGUAAAAGUUGUUCUUCAAACCCAAAGAUUUUGGCGGCACUUUAUCCAAAUAGAGGAGCUUGUCCCUUAAUCGAUAGUCCUCGUUUUAUCUUUCCUUCAUUUGUAAAGCUUGUAUACCGCCGUUGUCAGAUUACUUUUAGAGAAUGUUUUCAAGUUAAAAGACUUUAUAACUUCAGGUCAAGGUGCAGUUUAUAUGGGGGUGGAGGUGAGCUACAGUUUUCUUUAGAAAAUACGGAUUCUAAGCUCUGAAGCUAGCUGAAGGUGGAUUUACUAGUAAAGUAAUUUAAGUAAAAUUACUUGAAUAAGGCAAUAAAGUGUGUACAUAUCGCCCGUCACUCUCUCCUUAAGGAGAGAUAAGUAGUAACAAAGUAGAUGUACUGGAAAGUGCAUA
RNAcentral lists this ribosomal RNA (602 nucleotides) under Daphnia galeata. RNAcentral describes it as "partial 12S ribosomal RNA". The stretch from base 208 to 602 matches the Rfam family "Microsporidia small subunit ribosomal RNA", at positions 752 to 1301 of the family's 1311-position model. Lineage: Eukaryota; Metazoa; Arthropoda; Branchiopoda; Diplostraca; Daphniidae. The record is from RNAcentral.